UUAUCUCUGUAGAGUCUGCAUAUCAAUAAGCGGAGGAAAAGAAACUAACUAGGAUUCCCUUAGUAACGGCGAGUGAAGCGGGAAGAGCUCAAAUUUGAAAUCUUCAAGGUUUUACCUUGACGAAUUGUAGUUUAAAGAAGUGUUUUCUGUUGGUGUUUUGGUAAAAGUUCUUUGGAAUAGGACAUCAUAGAGGGUGAGAAUCCCGUAUUUGACCAUUACUUCCAGCGUUGUGAUACACUUUCAAAGAGUCGGAUUGUUUGGGAAUGCAGUCCAAAAUGGGUGGUAAAUUUCAUCUAAAGCUAAAUAUUGGCGAGAGACCGAUAGCGAACAAGUACCGUGAGGGAAAGAUGAAAAGAACUUUGAAAAGAGAGUUAAACAGUACGUGAAAUUGUCAAAAGGGAAGCGUUUGACACCAGUGUUGUUUUCUCGAAAAUCAAUUAAAAAUGGCUUGAUUUUGUGUUGUAUUGACCUUAAAAGCUUUCUUCACUUUUUUCAUGUCUUUUUUAAUGCACUUUUCGUUUAACAAGUCAGCAUCAGUUUCUUUUGUUGUAAAAAGGUCAUUGGAAGGUGGCUUUCUUUUCGGAGAAAGUGUUUAUAGCCUUUGACUCCUGCAAUCGGAGAGACUGAGGUCUGCAGCGUAGAUCCUUUUGGAUUAGAUUCAUUUGUGCUAAGCUAUAGCUUUUUAUAGACAACAUGUUGACUAUAUUUAGUCAUGUAACUUACUCGCUUAUGUAAUUUUACCUACGCUUAGGAUGUUGAUCUCUCACAGUCGAGC
RNAcentral lists this ribosomal RNA (775 nucleotides) under uncultured Neocallimastigales. RNAcentral describes it as "partial large subunit ribosomal RNA". It matches the Rfam family "Eukaryotic large subunit ribosomal RNA", at positions 24 to 645 of the family's 3401-position model. Lineage: Eukaryota; Fungi; Neocallimastigomycota; Neocallimastigomycetes; Neocallimastigales. The record is from RNAcentral.